GAUGAACGCUGGCGGCGUGCCUAAUACAUGCAAGUCGAGCGAACAGACGAGGAGCUUGCUCCUCUGACGUUAGCGGCGGACGGGUGAGUAACACGUGGAUAACCUACCUAUAAGACUGGGAUAACUUCGGGAAACCGGAGCUAAUACCGGAUAAUAUAUUGAACCGCAUGGUUCAAUAGUGAAAGACGGUUUUGCUGUCCCUUAUAGAUGGAUCCGCGCCGCAUUAGCUAUUUGGUAAGGUAACGGCUUACCAAGGCAACGAUGCGUGGCCGACCUGAGAGGGUGAUCGGCCACACUGGAACUGAGACACGGUCCAGACUCCUACGGGAGGCAGCAGUAGGGAAUCUUCCGCAAUGGGCGAAAGCCUGACGGAGCAACGCCGCGUGAGUGAUGAAGGUCUUCGGAUCGUAAAACUCUGUUAUUAGGGAAGAACAAAUGUGUAAGUAACUAUGCACGUCUUGACGGUACCUAAUCAGAAAGCCACGGCUAACUACGU
Molecule: ribosomal RNA, 496 nt
Filed under: uncultured bacterium
Lineage: Bacteria
Description: partial 16S ribosomal RNA
Rfam family: Bacterial small subunit ribosomal RNA
Source: RNAcentral